Molecule: ribosomal RNA, 441 nt
Filed under: uncultured bacterium
Lineage: Bacteria
Description: partial 16S ribosomal RNA
Rfam family: Bacterial small subunit ribosomal RNA
Source: RNAcentral
GAUGAACGCUGGCGGCGUGCCUAAUACAUGCAAGUCGAACGGGGAGUUGCAAUACUCUUAGUGGCGAACGGGUGAGUAACGCGUUGGUACCUGCCCCGAAGCGGGGGAUAACGGACCGAAAGGUUCGCUAAUACCCCACGUGCUCGGUAACGAGUAAAGGUGAAAACCACCUUGGGAGGGGACUGCGUCCCAUCAGCUAGUUGGUAAGGUAACGGCUUACCAAGGCGAUGACGGGUAGGGGACCUGAGAGGGUGGCCCCCCACAAUGGAACUGAAACACGGUCCAGACACCUACGGGUGGCAGCAGUAGGGAAUAUUGGUAAUGGGCGCAAGCCUGAACCAGCCCCGCCGCGUGGGGGAAGACGGCCUUCGGGUUGUAAAGCACUUUUGGCUGGGACGGGGAAGGACGGUACCGGACGAAUCAGCCUCGGCUAACUACGUG